AAUACUUGACUAUCCCUGAUUAGGUCUUGUUAACGUCGUUUAGUUAUUCUGUAGCAUACUGGGUUAAAAGUGUUUACGCUAUUUCACCAUUGUUUCGUAUGAUGGCUUCUAAGACAAUUGGAGCAACUGUACGAGCUGUUAAAGGACGAAGGAUGAUUCCAACAAAACAAGCAUUAGUUUUGACACAAGCUGCAGUUUCAAGAGUCAAAGAACUUCUUCAACAAAAUCCUGAAGCUAAUGCACUUAAGGUGGGAGUAA
Ciona intestinalis (vase tunicate) is the source of this 258-nucleotide non-coding RNA. NCBI's taxonomy places the organism in Eukaryota, Metazoa, Chordata, Ascidiacea, Phlebobranchia, Cionidae. The record is from RefSeq and is a predicted model, not a curated record.